This 456-nucleotide ribosomal RNA is filed under the name uncultured bacterium. Its description in RNAcentral is "bacterial SSU rRNA". It matches the Rfam family "Bacterial small subunit ribosomal RNA", at positions 340 to 786 of the family's 1533-position model. The record is from RNAcentral.
UACGGAAGGCAGCAGUGGGGAAUAUUGCACAAUGGGCGAAAGCCUGAUGCAGCUAUGCCGCGUGUAUGAAGAAGGCCUUAGGGUUGUAAAGUACUUUCAUCGGGGAGGAAAAAACAAAACUAAUAAUUUUAUUUCUUGACGUUACCCGAAAAAGAAGCACCGGCUAACUCCGUGCCAGCAGCCGCGGUAAUACGGAGGGUGCUAGCGUUAAUCAGAAUUACUGGGCGUAAAGAGCACGUAGGUGGUUUUUUUAAGUCAGAUGUGAAAUCCCUGGGCUUAACCUAGGAACUGCAUUUUGAAACUGAAAUACUAGAGUAUCGUAGAGGGAGGUAGAAUUCUAGGUGUAGCGGUGAAAUGUGUAGAUAUCUGGAGGAAUACCUGUGGCGAAAGCGGCCUCCUAAACGAAUACUGACACUGAGGUGCGAAAGCGUGGGGAGCAAACAGGGAUUAGAUACC